This 442-nucleotide ribosomal RNA is filed under the name uncultured Oscillospiraceae bacterium. Its description in RNAcentral is "bacterial SSU rRNA". It matches the Rfam family "Bacterial small subunit ribosomal RNA", at positions 338 to 795 of the family's 1533-position model. Lineage: Bacteria; Bacillati; Bacillota; Clostridia; Eubacteriales; Oscillospiraceae. The record is from RNAcentral.
CCUACGGGUGGCUGCAGUGGGGGAUAUUGCACAAUGGGCGCAAGCCUGAUGCAGCAACGCCGCGUGAGGGAAGACGGUUUUCGGAUUGUAAACCUCUGUCUUUGGUGAAGAAUAAAUGACGGUAGCCGAGGAGGAAGCCACGGCUAACUACGUGCCAGCAGCCGCGGUAAUACGUAGGUGGCGAGCGUUGUCCGGAAUUACUGGGUGUAAAGGGAGCGCAGGCGGGGAAGCAAGUCAGCUGUGAAAUCUAUGGGCUUAACCCAUAACGUGCAGUUGAAACUGUUUUUCUUGAGUAGAGUAGAGGUAGGCGGAAUUCCGAGUGUAGCGGUGAAAUGCGUAGAGAUUCGGAGGAACACCAGUGGCGAAGGCGGCCUACUGGGCUCUAACUGACGCUGAGGCUCGAAAGUGUGGGGAGCAAACAGGAUUAGAUACCCUGGUAGUC